GAAAUUGACAGCUGUCCAAGUCUGGAAUUACUGCCAGGAGAGGAACUUCAACACCUCACUUCUCUUCAAACUCUAAUUAUUAGUUCGUGUGGCAGUCUCCAAUGCCUGCCAGAAGAGGAUUUGCCGUCAUCUCUUUCUCAUCUGAGUAUCUGGCGGUGUCCUCCCCUGGAGAAAAGGUAUAAGAAUAAGACGGGACAAGAUUGGGCAAAGAUAUCUCACAUUCCUUGCAUCAAGAUAGGAUACGAACUGAUCAUAUAAUAUGAGCUAUUCCAUAUUUCAUGCUCAACCCUCAACUCUCAAAUCAAAGUCAGGUGAGGUGUGUGCCUUCUCUUACUUUAAAAAACUGCUUCUCUUCUUCUAAUUGAAUACAAAAACCAAAACACAUAUUCUCUUUCUCUUCCAAAAACCCAAAUACAUGUUGGACAUUGCCCAAAUUUGAUCUCCAAAUUCCUAAUUAUUUCACGCUUUUUGUUAUUUUAUGGUUGCUGGUCACAAAUUAUAUCCUACUUGGAGUAUCAAAUGCUGAAUAAUUAGCAGUCUUUUUGCAGGACGACAUACCUUCUCUUGGCCCUUGGGGAGCUUUUCAAAAUUUGCAAGGUUUCUUUAUGUGGCAUUUCCAGAGGAGGGUCACAGGGCGGAGAAACAGAAAAGGUUUACCUGGAAUAUCUCAUACAUUCCUGCAUGUAGGCAUCAAAUGUACACCAUUUUUAGGUACUUUUAUAUGAAAAAAAUUGUAUUUGAGUCUCAUUUGCACUAGUUUAAAUCAAAUUUAAUGCCUAUGGAUAGUCUAUUAAUAGGUUCAUGCCAUGAAUUAAUCUUUGGACUUUCCCAGGUACUGCAGGUUUGUUAUUAAUGUUGUGGCUAGGUUGUCUUACGUUGAGGAGAGAGAUCGAUCAGCAAUUACAAAAUUGUUAGCGAAUUUAGUUUGUUUAUCAUCUCUCUCCUUUUGUUUGUUAAGUUUUGUUGUUCUAGGUUAAACCCUUGUCCCCGCAUUUCACAGCAACUCUGUGUUAUUCCACUCUGUUUAGAUUUCAUUUAUGUUGUGAUUCGACUGCUGCUGUAUUUUAGAUUUCGUUCAUGUAAUGUUAGGAUGUUUAAUCUCUGAUCUGUGGUGGUAGUUGAGUAGUUGAGUAGUCUAGUUAAUCCAGUAGAUAACUUGUCCCCUGUUUUGUAUUGUUUUUAUUUCUCUGGUAAUGAAAGCACGUUUCUUAUAAAUAAAUAAAAAAUAUUUCAUUGAUAUUCAUUGCUUAUUUUGAACUGCAGAAGCCUACUUUUGUCAGAGUCAGUAGAUGCCAGAAUGAAGUCAUUGCCUAAACACAUUGGCACCCUCACAGCCUUCGACAUUUUGGGAUAUAUGAUCUUCAAAAUCUUGUGUCAUUUGCCUCCCAACCUGCAAUAUUUUCAUAUUUUAAAUUGUGACAGACUGAGCCCUUUGGUGGGAGAUUACUGGGGUUUGCAAGGACUUGGUGGCAAUAUCUUGUAGACGUUUCUCAAGGAACAGCUGCUCAAUGCCACUCUUCGCACUCUAUAUAUUAUGGCCUGUCAGUCUAAAAUUCCUGCCAGGAGAGGAACUUGAACGCCUCUCUUCACUGCAAAGGCUACAUAUUUGUGGGUGUGACAAUACCCAAUUCCUGCCAGAAGAGCGUUUGCUGCCAUCUCUUUCUUAUCUGUGCAUCGACCAUUGUUUUGCCAUGUAGAAAAGGUAUCUCACAUUCCUUGCGUCAAGAUAGGUGAAGAAGUGAUCAUAAGGUAUGAGCUCUCUCUCCCUCUCGCUCACAUACAAAGUACUUAAACACUCAAUCUGAUUUCUAUUAUUAUUUUGCUCAGUAAAUUUUGUUUAAAUUUGCUUUAUUUCUCAUUGCGCUUGUUCUGCUUAUCACAACUUAUAUCCUAUUUAAAUCUCAAAUGCUGAAUAAUUAGCAGGCUUUUCGCAGGACAACAUAUCUUCUCUUGGAGAGAUAUUCAUUUGCAAGGUUUCUUUAUGUGUCAUUUCCAGAGGAGGGUUUACUAUUUAAUAGAAAGGUUCACCUGGAAUAUCUCAACUGACACAUUCCCAAAUACAAGCAUUGAAUGCACAACAUUUUGAGGUACUAUUUUUGUAAUAAAAAUGUACUUGAGUCUCAUUUGAGCUAGUUUAAAUUGUAUUCAAUGUCUAUGGAUAACCUGUGAGCUUAAGUAGUAAGAUAAAACUCACAGUAUAUUAUUAGGGUUUAGGGUUCAACAGGUGAGCUUUAGUUGUACUUUCCUAGGUACUGCAUGUAUAUUAUCUUCGUAUCAACAGGUGGUCUUAUGUGGACGAGCGAGAACAUUGAGGAAUUACAAAAUCUUCUUAGCUUGUUUCAGCUCUGUUUGUCAUCCCUCACAUUUUCUUUGUUAAGCCUUGAUUUUUUAUUAGACAUAAGAAAAAAUGCUUUUAUAAGACAGGAGAUGAAUGCUUUUAUAUGUUGAUGUCAUAGUCAGUCUUCAACCACACUCUGUUUUUAGAAUUCAUUUAUGUUACAAGUGGAGUGCUGCUGUAUUUUAUAUUUCGUUCCUGUAAUGUUUGGAUGUUUAGCUUGAGUAGUCUAGCUUAUCCAGUAGAUAACUUGUCCCCUGUUUUGUAAUGUUUUUGUUUCCUCUAAUGAAAGCAGGUUUUACUUAUCUUGAAUUGCAGAAGCCUACUUUUUGACAUAGGUGGCAUGGCACAAACUCGCAUCCGCAUUUCCUUCCCCAUUGGCAUGCUGUCUCAUCUUUUCUAUUCUGUUACCAGCUUGAAGCUUGUGUAGACAUGUUAUGCUCUUGUAAUUCUGAUCACAAACAUCACUUGACAAAUGGAAAGUCACAAUCAGAUCUUUCAGGUGAUCUGGAGGUUUACUUUCUAACAUUUGUUUUCGUGGGGGGGGGGGGGGAGGACAACAAUACAGAAUUUAAAAUUUCUGAUAAUCAAUAGUAGUUUGCAUAUAUCAGCUGGGACCUGUAUGACUGUAUUAUGUAAUUAAUUAUUCUCUUAUUGUUUUGGUACUGUUAAAAGGAGUUAGCCACACAAAAUAAAAAAGGAGGCCUCUUAUUUCAUACUAAUCGUCUGGUCCAUCUGCUGCUUCACUCCCUAGUAGCUUCAUCUCCUGUCCUUUGCUUUAUUUCUGUUAUUUAUUUUGAUUUCAUGUCCAUUGCUUCAUUUCUGUUUGGAUUCUUAAUUAAAUCUGUCCUGGACUUGAACAAGGGUUAGGUUAGCUGUAUAAUUUGCGGUUUUAUAUACACAACUGUCUACAUUGAUUAAAACCAGCAUUAUUCUAAGGUUCAUUUAGAAUGUAUUAUCACCAAAAUUAUAAAGUAUACUUCUAUUACAAUUAAUUUGUUGAUUCUAAUUUGGACUUGUAGGAACAGACCAAACAUGUUCAUAUGUGGCAUUGCUCAAGUCAUCAUCAUUCGGGACAGAGAAUAAGCCUUCAAAUGUCUGCUGAGUCAAUGAACCUUUCUAGAUAUCUCAAGUGUAAUGGAAAUUGAUGAGUUACAAAGGAUUUGUAAACAUUUUCUACUGGAGGCUAGAAAUGCUUCAAAUAAAUGACUGUGUUGCAAUUAUUUUGUAGGAUCAAAGACUCUGCAAAGAGGUAAGAAAGUCAUCAUCAAAUAACUUUGCUCUUCAAACUUUUUAUUUUUAUUUUUAAAUAUCAGUAAUAACUGGGAAAGCUUGCAUCUCCUUAAAUUGCUCAUUCUUACAUCUUUUAUAGUUUGUUGAUCUUGGGCAAGUGGAGAGAGAGGCGUCAAGUGAUACACAACAACCAUUUUCUGUGAGCUGAUUUGAUAAAGAGAAAUGGUAUGCUUUCUUGUCUUAAGCGGUGUGUUCUGCAAUUAUUUGAAACAAAGGAUGCCGCACUUCAAGUUCGAGAAAAUCAGGUAUUUUAGUAUUUUAUUCUUGAGAAAUUUGAUUUAUGUAGAAACUUGAACAUGUAAAUGAGAGAAAUAUAUAUAUAUAUAUAUUAUAUAUUGUAUAUGCUGUUAAUGAGUUAAUAUGGUGCUUGCUCCUAGUUGGAAAUUUAUGUAGUCAUCUACCUAUGAUCAAAUAAAGAUGAAAAAUAAAAUAAAAUUGAGAGCAUCUUCCUCUCCCCUGCUUUGCUCAUCCCUUGUUCUUCCACUUCAGCCCCACUAUUACACCAUUUUUUCAGCCACAAUUAUAAUAGCUCCAUGAGCAUAUUAACAUCAGUGGCCACAGUUCCAUGAUUUGAGUGCACAGAAAGGUUUCAAAAAUUGUCCCAAAAGUACAGUCGUUCAAAGUGAAAGAGAGUUUUCAAAGCUUAAUUACAAGUUCAUGUUAUUUACAAUAGCAAAAAGCUUUCAUUCUUGCUUACAAACUUGUAUUUCCAAGUUCUGUAAACCUUGGAAUUUCACUUCAUCCAAAUCCCCUUCCAAAGCAGGAAAAAAUGGCAGCAGCUUUGAUUGGAGAGGCUCUCAUCUCUGCUUCUAUCGAGGUGUUGUGUGACAGAGUUACUUCAGCCGAGUUCAUAGACUUAUUUCAGCAGAAGAACUUGAUGAAACACUCCUCAUGAACCUGAAGACAACACUGUUGAUUUUGUUUGCGGUGCUCAAUGAUGCAGAGGAGAAGCAAAUUGUGAACCCUGCUGUGAGAGAGUGGCUUAACAGCUCAAGCAUGCUGUCUUUGAUGCAGAGGACUUAUUUGAUGAGAUUGACACUGAAGCUUUGCGAUGCAAGCUGGAAGGUGAGGAUCAAACCCACAAUAGUUAACCAACAAGGAUCUUUUUGAUUGUUUGAAAGAAGAGUCUUUGAUGAUUUGAAAGGAGAGGGUUGCUUUAUUUCUGUUGGAUGCGUAAUUAAAUCUUAUUUGGAGUUGAACAAGGAUUAGAUUAGCUGUAUAAUUAGUGGUAAACGCCUUUUUCUAAGGGUCAUUUAGACUCCUAUUACGAUUAAUUUGUUGUUUCUAAUUUGGACUUAUAGGAACAGACCAAAUAUGUUCACACGUGGCAUCGCUCAAGUCAUCAUCAUUUCAGACUGAAAAUCAGCCUUCAAGUGUCUGUUGAGCCAAUAAACCUUUCUAGAUAUAUCAAGUGCAAUGGAAAUUCAUGAGUUACAUAGAGAUUUGUAAACAUUUUGAAGAUUGCAACACCUGCAAGUGAGAUAGGCGGUGACGAAAUCAGAGCUGAUUUUGAAGCCUCUGAUGCCCCUGUUGUUGCAAGUUGCACCUGAGAACAUGUUUUUUUUUUCUUUGGGGUAAAAAAACUGGCAACAUGUUCGGAGCUGACAAUUCAAUCCCUGAUGAACUAGAGAAGCGAAGCUCCGGUAAGGAAUUGGUCAAGGUUGUGACAGGGAUGAUUGAUGGUGAAAUGGAUGCUAUUUCUUAUUGCAGCCUGUUCUCAAAGUUCUUGUUGGCAAAUGCAAGAGAUGGAGUAUUUUGAUUGGGAGGAGAUAUAAUGACAUGGCUUGACAAUUCUAGAACAGCCCAUCAUUAAUCCCAGAAAAAAUCCAGUUUCUGCUAAACAAUCACUUAUGGCAAGGCCAACUCUGUAAAUGGAAUUUGUGAUCCCUUGAAAUUGUACACAUUUUUUCUUUUUGAGGAAUUUAAUCAAACAGUAUUCUAAUGUAUUAUGAUAGCACUACACGCUUUUGUUGUAACAAAUUACAAGGAGGAAUUUGGAUUGAGUUUCUUGUAUAAGCACACCUUACACAAAUUUGGUAUAUUUUCUUCCAGCAAGUCUGUUUAUUAACCCCCUUAUCUGAAAUUAAUUGUUAAAAGUUUUGAUUCAUCUUUAAUCAGUGUCUAACCCUUGUUGAAUAACACUCCUCUUUCUAAUUUAUAUUUGAAGUUUGAGGUUUCAAUUUCAAUUGUGGGCUUUGAUUUUACAGAUUUUGUUUGUCAAUUUCAGUUUGGACAAAGCAUAUGCAAACAAAAUAAGCAUUUUAUGUUAUACUUUUGAAAUAGGUGUUGAUUUGAUUUAAUCAUAAGUUUUGCUGGUGCAUUUACUAGGCUAUCAUUCAAUACUUUUGAUCAUAGAACUUCUUUGGUCGAUAUUAUCUUUGUUAAGUUUAACCAUAAAUUUAGAGAGGGGACUUCAACAGAUUUAUAAUCUCAUCAUUAUAGUAUUAAAAAUUAGAGAUUAAGGCAUUGUCUAUUAUCUGAAUUCUGCUUACUUUUAGUUCAUAUGUUUACAUCUUAGCAUAUUCAUGCGAUUAGUGCGGCUCAUACCACAAAGGCAACUUUAGGCUCAUCAAGUGCUAAGCAAUGUCAAGCUUCCAAGUGACAAGUUCUCUACAUAGUUUGAGACCUACACUUACUAGAUAUUAGAUCAUUUCGAUCAUUUCCAUAUGUUUAUAUGUAAUUGACAUGUUAUAACAAUUUUUGUAGCGUUAUAUAAUUAUUUAGCAAUUUAAUUAUUUCUUUGCAUCAAGAAAUAGUUCUUAAGUUAUUAAAAAAAAAAAAAAAGAUUUAAAAAAAAAGAUUUGUUGAUGCUUAAAAAGCAUCAAGAACAGGUAGUUUCUUGACGGUUUAGUGACGUUUCAUAACUGUAGGAGGCUUUUUCUUCCGACAGCUGUAAAUGGGCUGGGUUGCCGUAAAGGGCAGACUGAUGAAAUUGUCCCCUUUUGUCUGAGCUAGAAAAUUAAGCCCCAAAAUACUUCGAAAGGGCAGCAGAGCCUUAGGAAGUAUUUUGGUUACCCUCACCAACUAAAACAACAACAACUUACAGGUAAUUUCUUAAUGCUUACAGAUGAACUCUUGAGCUUGGCAUGAGAGACAUGUGGCAUGGAAGCAAAAUCAACAUGAGUUUAGCACUGAGGGGAAAUUUAGGCUCUCUUGGGGGAAAAAGGGAAGUGUUAAGGUGAGAGAGGAGAAGUUUGUAGGAGAUUUAGCUAAGAAAGGAGAAAUAUAGAACAAUGCUCUUCUGGCAGCUUGACAGAUGCUCUGUCUGCCAGAAAAGGAAGAUGGAGAAGAAAUGUGAAUAGUGCACGAGUUUGCUAGAUUUUUGCAGGUAAGAGAGGAAGCUUGCUCUCUGGGUCUGAGUUGAGUUUUGUUAGGUGGAAGAGACCUCAUUUUAUAGCUCCUGGAAACCAUCACUUCCCAAGAAACCCUAAUGGCUUCUACCCAUUUUGGCCAAGCUUUUCCAUUCCUUUCUCAUUUCCUUCCUUGACUUUACCCCUCUUGAUGAAAUCCUCUCUACCUAUUUGCACCAGAUCAGAGUUUUUUGAAGCUUAAGGCCCCCUUUUCCCGCAGUUGUCUCAAUGGGAGACUUUCAUUCCUAGUCAUUUCCUUUAUUGCUUUCCUUUCUUUUUUUCAUGGCCAAGUCUGGUGGGGAAAGGAGUUGGGAUAAAUAUGCUAGUUUGAAGGGUGCUUCUCUUCUUGGCAUCUUACACACUAAUACCCCUUGGUUCCUUGAAUGUUUUGGCUUUGAAACUUGCUCCCCUCCAUGUAUUGGAACCUCCCAGCAGCCCUGGUCAAUGAAUCUUCAGACCUUCUCUUCGUGGCUUUUAUUUUUUUAUCAACUGGCUAGGGCUUUUGUGGCUCAUUGGGGCAAUUGUAUGGGCUAAGGUGGUUCAUUAAGUAAGUGGGCUAUUUUUAUUAAACAUUGAGCUUUUUGGUUGAGUCACUAGGCUAUUUUGAUUGGGCUAUUGGGCUAUUGUUUCCUCUCUUGUGCUCACCCACAUGUUUGGACCAAAGAAAUGAGCUUGAGUCCUGAGGCUCCCAAGCGACCCGAGACUUUCCAUUUAUCGGUCCAUCAAUGGGCCUCAUGUUGAUUUAUUACCAUCCAUACCACACCCCACUCAAGCAAGCCCCGGGCAUUUGAGUGGCUUGGGCCCACUUAGGCUUGUAGUGUGGUUGGGUGCAAAAUAACGAUUUCGUGCUUGGCAUGUUUUAAUUUUAUCAUCCAUGGGAAAGGCUGCGAUGUUUGAUUUCGGCAUGGGCUUGUAGAGCUGGUAUGCUUUAUUUCAACUCCUAGCAUGACGAAUUAUUUAUUUAGCAUGGCACGUGAAUUACAACUCGCAUGUGGUGGGUUUUUGUGUACUACACCUUACGCCUCUUCUUAAUAGAACAUCGUUUCUGAUAAUUUAUUUGGGCCCAACCGUGAAUUUUUUGGAUCUCAAUAAUAACCAUCAUGAAACAUUACAUUUUGACUGACAUCAAGAAAUGGGGUAUCCCUUUCUUGAUAGUGGCAUCCAUGAUGCCUUCCAAGCCGUCAAUUAAGGGCUAUCGCGAUGCAUUUUAGUUGUCAGCAAAAGGUGUUUUUCUUGUACUAUAUUCACUCAAAAUCGUGUUUCAUUUAAGAUUAGUAGUAUGGUUGAAUACCAUUUGUUUUGUUAAAGAAUAUUAUACAUUAGGGAUUUUUGUAGAAAUGUCAUUUGAACUUAUACCUUAGUUUCAAUUUGUCACCUUGAAGAAAAAUUUAAGAGAAAUAUCACCUUAAUUUUUUAAAAUCCAUGAUUUGUCAUAUGACUUUAAGAUCAUCCAAUUUUCCAUCCAUUUUAAGGGUAUUUUAGACUUUUCAUUUUCAAGGAAAAAAAAGAGAUGAAAAAAGAGACCUCUCUCUUACUUUGUCCCCCAACCCAACCCCACCCGCCCCCAAAAACACAUCACAUAGGAUUGCCUCCCCCUUCCCCACUUUUCUUUUUUCUUUUUGUCAUACUUUUCCACUGUGUUUAUGUUGAAGGAUCUAAAGUUUGCUUGGUCACCAUCUUUUACGUAGGCUUCCUAAUUGUUGGUUUGGGUGGGUUGUGGGAAUUUGUGUGUGGAGGGCAAGGCUCUAUCUGACAGGACCCACCUCGAAUUCCUCGAAACCCGAGACGAAUCUUGUAGAAUUUCCGACAUCACACCGAUGCCGGGUCCACUUCUGAACUAAAUCCUCUUUUCCAAAAUUAAGGAAAAAUAGUACGAGGCUUUCUGCCAAAAUUUCGGCAGUCUUCCCUAUAAAUUUAACGUUUCAGCUUUGGAGGCCGUUCUUUCAUUUCUGCUUUGGUGGCCGGAUGAGAGAACGGCCGGCUAAAACGUGGCCAGCUGGCACUGCCGUCACGAGAGAGAGAGAGAGAGAGAGAGAGAGAGAGAGAGAGAGAGAGAGAGAGAGAGAGAGAGAGAGAGAGAGAGAGAUGUUUAUCAAACCAUUUUUGCCAAAAUUACGAUUAUGCAACUGAGGGUAUUUUGAUCGUAUCUUUUUCGUUAUAACUCCGAUUCAAGCCCACUACAUAUCUACGGACUCAUCUCGCCGUGCUCUAUGCAAUUGUAUAGUUGAAAUUCCCAAAUUCCAUCCCAGUCAAAAAGUCAACUUUAAACCUUAUAAAAUAUUCUAAGGGCAAAAUGGUCUUUUAUCUAAUUAAAUUAAUAAUUGAAAAUUUAUUUAGGACCGGGUCGUUACACUGUCGUUGAUGGACUGUGCGAUGGCACUCACACAAAGUCCUUAAGAAUAAAACACACACACACCAUGAAGAGAGUAAAACAAAUGCACAAAGAUUUAUAAAGGUUUGGCCUCCUGCCUACAUCCUCUUGGUGAUCCACCCGAGAAAUUCACUUGUACGUAAGAACAACUUUGGUUACAACUAAACCCCCUUAGCUUUCAUAAGAACCCUAGAUCUCUUUUCUCCCACCCUUGCUCCAACCCUUUGAUGCCCUUGUAAACACUCAAGAAUUCAUCCUUGAAUUCUAUCAUGUGUUACAUCUUCUCUUCUCCCCUUUGCCAACCUAACCCUACAAGUUAUAUUUAAAAUUCAUUGGACUUUAAGUACAAGUUAACUAGGAAUAGGAAACAUAAAAGACCCCAAAAAUUGGAGAAAAUAUGUCUAGAUCUCAUUAGGAAAUUGCACAACACGUGCGAUCCUCUCGAGCGCCUGCAAAAUCAUCCCUUUGCCGCUCGAGCUGCCGAUAGCUCAUGGGAUGGGGGAAUUAGAAAUUUUUUUUUUUCAAUUUUAAUUGUUUAAAAGAUAUACAAUUUAUUAAUAAUAAUUUUUCCAUUUUUAAAAUACCCUUGAAAAUAGAAAGAUUAAAAUGCCCUUAAAAAUGGAUGGAAAAUUGGAUGGUGUUAAGGUCAGAUGACAAAUCAUGGAUUUUGAAAAAUUAAGGUAACGUUUCUCUUAAAUUUUUCUUUACAGUGACAAAUUGAAAUUGAGGUAUAAGUUCAAGUUACAUUUCUGCAAAAAUUCUUAUACAUUAUGAUAUUCUAACAAUAAUUGGCUAAAAUUGAUAUGUUCCCUCUUUUAUUUUCUUUUUCUCUUUUCCUUUUCAUUUUAUGAUCCAAUCCUUUUCAUAUAUUUUUGUUCAAGACUUUGUUUUAUAAUGCUCUAUUACUAAUUUGGUACAGGUCCCUAAAAUCUCGGAGCCGCCUUAGUACAUUCAUAACGUACAUGUUCAGAGUUCAAGAAUAAUGUAUAGAAUGUGAAAUUGACGAUGCCGGCCUUUAUGAGGCAACAUCUUUAUUUCUUUGGUUAUUCCAGUUUAGAAUAUUUGCACAAAUGAGAUGACUCCAAGCAUAAAGUCACAUUCGACCAAAAAGCAUAAAGUCACACACAAAAAGAACACGGACAAUUGCUAAGUUUAUCCUUGUACCCUUAUUUUAUUGAUCCGACCCAAUUGAAAAAUAAAAAAAGAUGAUAAAAAAUAUUGUUCACUGCUUUAAAAUCUAUGAGUAGAGUCCUCCAUUUGAAAUUUGGUCAUUAUACAAAAUUGGAAUGAAAAAAGAAAAUCCUAAAGCUAUAUUUGAUAUAUUUCAUUUUCAUUUUUUGCUGGGUGUUAGGGCUCGUCAAUGGGCCGGGCCUGGCUAGCCCGGCCCGAAUUUAAUGGGCUUGGGCCAGGCCGGCCCAGGCUUUAAAGAGGAGAGAGAAAAUAUCAGGUCGAGUUUUUUAAGAAAAUUCAAAGCCCAAGCCUGACCCAUGAGCCGGGCUUGAGAAAGCCCAUCGGGCCGGGCCGGGCCUAAACGGGCCCUACUUCAUUCAAAAAAAAUCAUUAACUUAAUCAUAAGGUCAUUUUAGUCCAAAUUUGAGAUUAAACUCACUUAAUUCUAAUAUUUUUACUUCAAACCAAAUUCAUAAAACACCCAAUAAAGUCACACAACUUGUAAGAUUUUCCACAAAAAUAAUAAAACCAAGUAUUAUUUUUGAGGUUAUUACAUAAUUAGAUCGUAAUACGUUUUAAAAAAUAAUUUUUAAAAAUAAUAUUAAUAAGUAUCAAAAAAAUAUUUUUUUAAAGGAUGGUAUGAAUAAAUAUGCAAAUAUUUGGUGAUGUGUUCAAGAAAAGGAUGAUUAUAUUUGGUGGUACGAUUAUGUUUCGUGAUACGAUUAUAUUUAGUGAUGUGAUAUGUUGUUCAUCUUAUAUAUAUAUAUAUAUAUAAUUGUUGAACUAAUAAUUGACACAAAUUAAUGUGUUAAUCAUCCAAUUAUAAACUAGGAGUGAAUAAAGAAAAGUAAAUGAAAUGAAACAAAUUAUAUGUGUGAUUUAAGUGAUAUAAUCCUAAACCUAAACUCUUAUUUAUACAUAAUUAUAUAUGUAUGCGGGCCUAACGGGCCGGACUUUUGUGGGCGUGUCGGGCCGGGCUUUCUUGGGCUUAAUCAGGCUGGACCUAUGGGUCAGGCCGGGCUUCAAACACCCCAACACGAGCCUAGCCUAGCCCGCCUUGGGCCGGGCCAUCUCAAAGCCCAUAACGAGCCGGAUCGGGCUUUUUUCGAUUGGCCGGGCGGGCCCCCUCGACCCAUGAGCCCGCGGGCCAAAUGAUGAGGCCUACUGGGUGUUCAAUUUUUCUUGUUUCUUGUUGAAAAGAAAAAUGAUAAUUAAUAAAAUCUGAUUUGGUGGUUGUGCUCGUCACAAAUCAAUGAAAUGACAGCAGUGAUUUUGCAAGACAGCAUACCUUCUCUUGGGGUGCUUUUCAUUUUGCAACAUUUCUUUACGUGUAAUUUCCAGAGGAGGGUUUAUCAUUGUAUAUAGCUCUUCGGGUGGUUUUUUCUGCAAAACAAAUGUCACAAGGAAGGAGGAGAAACGGAAAAGAUUUACUUGGAAUGUCUCAAGUCUCCUUUGAGAUAAAGGCAUCGAAUGCACAACAUUGUUUUUGUGCUAUUUCAUAAUUAAAGUGUGCUUCCCAAGUCUCCUUUGCGUUUUGUAACUUGUAAUGUUUGUUUUUUUGUUUCCCCUGUUUUGUCUUUUAUAAAAGAAAGAGGAAUGCUAGCAACCUUCUCUCUAAUCUUCUCUUUUGGACCUUCUCCCUUUUCUUUUUGACAAGUGUCAUUUUCCAUACACUUAAAACAAUGACAUUAAUGCAUCACACAAUUUAGUUUUUGUUUUCCAAGUUUACCAUUUUAAAAUGUAUUGGCUUUUAUAUUUCCUUCAAUUAUUCACAUUUUGUUAUAACUUGUUUAGCACAUUAUUUUUUUUAAUUUAAAAAAAGUCAUAUUUUUUAAAAAUAAAAAUAAAGUUUGUUUCAUGACAUUGUUAUCAUUUUUAUUUUGUUUUUAACAAAACACGCAUUCUCUUUGGAAAAAUUAAAAAUUAAAAAACAAUUCAGUUUUUAUUUUCUUAUUUAAUUUUUAACAAGCUAGUAAGAAAGUUAUAAAAAAAAAUUAGCUUGUUAUUAAAAAAAAAUUAAUACAUUUAAUAAGGGUAAAUUUGGAAAACAAAAACUAGUUUGUGUGAUGCAUUAAUGACAUUGUUUUUAGUUUAAGGAAAGUGACACUUGUCAUGAGAAGAAGGGAGAAGGUCCAAAAGAGAAGGUUAGAGAGAAGGUUGUUAGCACUCCCCAUAAAAGAAAUACAGGUCUGAACCACACGGAUCUACUUGCAUAAUAAUGGACCAAAUUUAUGAUUUUUAGAAAGAACCUUCUACUGGUGGAAUCUUGGGCUACUGUUGUGGCUCUCCUCUGUGUGCCUCCUUUUUAGAAUGGUAAAAUAUUCAAAAUACCAGAAAAUGUUCAUGAUUAAUGCAAAUAUUAAGAAUUGAAAUUAUUAAUUAAAUGAAGAUAAUAUGGUAAAUUCACACUUUUUCAUAUUAAAAAAAUUAAAAUUAAAAGAAAUAUCAGAUAAUUACUCUUAUUUUUAUGGAACACAGCUACCCAUUAUCUUUUUUAAUUAUAAAAUAAAUUUAAAUUAUAAAAAAAAAAUCCUCUCACAUGCACGGAAGCGCGUGCUCAGAGGCUAGUUAAAAAUAAUGAACUUUGCUUCUGAUGUCUAUACCAGACCCACUCAACCUGCUUUAUGAUUAUACAAAGAACAAACUCGUCCUUAGACUCAUUUGGUUAAACUUAGAAAAUAAUGAAACAAAAAUAUACACACCCACAAGUAACACAGCCAGGAUUGAAAACAACUGGACAAAGAAAGGCAUGUUAAAACAGAAUUUUCAACAACUCAUCACCAUUAGACAAGAAAAAGAAAAAUCAAUACAGAAACAGAAAGAACAGAGAAUAAAUGUGGUGGAAGAAAAACGUUGAAGCCAUUUGUGAAUCCAACAACACUACCACUCUGUUUCUCUCCUUUUGUUCAGGCGGAUCUGCAUAUAUCCUAAGGCGUAUUACGGAAACAACUUCUUGCCGUUAUACUUGAAUGUUGUGGAUGCUUCAACGUUGCCAUCUGGGUGGAGUGGAUUUGUCCAAUUCACCUUCACUAUGGUUAAUCAACUAGACAGACAUAAGUCAGAAACAAUAGGUAUAUAGGUCCAAAUUGUUGUUAUUUGAAAGGCUUCUAAAUUUUAACAUUUUGAUUUCUAAAUUUUGUUUUAAUAUUUCGGCCCACUUAGUUCUUCUCAAAAUAUGUCAUCAAUAUCGUUGAAAGGUUGAACUUAGUGAAUUAUUAUAGUGCAGUACGGUAAAAUAGGCACAUGAUAUAAUUUGUCCACAUGUUCUAAUAUAAGUGAAUAUUUAUUGAUAUUAUUUUCAAAAAUAAAAAAUAUCAACCAUUACAUCCUCCCAUAUUAUAAUACAUAUACAAAUUAUACCACAUUAUCAUACUCUAAUACCAUUUUAUAAUUUCUCGUACUUAGGAGGUAUAGAGCGAGUCAAUGACAUUACAUAAUAUAUAAUUGUUCAUAUAAUGGGGCAACUAACGUGAUCAACAAGUUGUGGUGAUUAAUUUAACAUAAUAAAAAACAUACCAUUUACUAUGUAACAAUUUGUUCUUUUAAAUUGGAUUGUCAUCACUUUAAUAUGUUAUGUUUCUUAUUCUAGUCUCCCAUGUUAAGUGCUUCAGCAUUGUUUGUGGUGUGUACACAAAUUUUCUUAUAAAAUGUUUUAAUGCUUCUCACAUGUAUAUCAGAUAUAGACAGUUGAUGUGACUUAGAAAUCAAAUUGUCAAUAAAGAAAAAAAAUAUAAUUGGUGAUCGAGGUCCAAUUUAAUAGAAAAUAGUCUUAAUUUGUAUAUUAAAGGUUUCAGAUUCGAAUCCUCACUGCAUUAUUGUUGUAUGCGUACACGAGAAAUUCUAUUUCCCAAUAAUUUAGAUUAUCACUUAUACUAAAAAAAAUAUAUAUAAUAAGUUUUACGAAUGCAAACAUAAAAUUACACCAAACAAUAAUGGAAUAGAAAGAUGGAAGUUUUUUUUUUUUCCUACAUCUAAAGUAUACUUUAUAUAUAUAUUUAUUAUGGGAGUUAUAACCGUUUAAUUUUCAGUUUUUAUUUUCUAUUUAUUGUGUUAAUUUUUAUGGUUUAAUAUGUAUGGAGAUUACAAGUAUUGGAUGUCUAUAAAGGGCCACUCCUCCUUCACAUCUGAAACAAACCACCAUCUCAUUUCUGUAUUUUCAUACUUUCAUAUAUUUUCUACUUUCCAGAUUAUUAUUUUUGGGCAACGGUUUUGUGACUUGGAGAUUUCUAUCCGAUUGUUAACAUGCUCAUAACGGACCUUGAGCUUGCGUAUUGGGGAUCGUAUCUUGGAGCCUUGUAGACCUUUAUUACGUGCAUGUAGGGAGGCUACAAAUGCUUUAGGUCAGCGUCUUUGACGUACUUUUGCUUUCUUUUUUUACUUAUUUCUUCGUUUCUUUAUUUUUACUUUACUUUUAAAUCUUUAUUUUAUGUAUUAUUUAUAUUUAAAAGUUUUGAAUAAGAGUUUUACAGAAAAGGAAAAACACAAUUUCAAAUAACACAAAUUUCUCGUUUUUUGUUCUUAAAAAAGAAGAAGCAUUGAUUGGGGAGUUAUGGUAAACUCAGUUUCAAUGGUUGCGAUGAGAGGCGGUGGCGGCGAGGAGAGGACGAAGGCUUUGCUGCCGACGGGGUGGUGUGGCUGGCUGCUUGGUCCUGGGUUCUCCUUUAAUUCUCUGUUUUCUUUUUUCAUUUUCUUUUUCUCUUAGAGUUAUUGAUGUUAAGUGAAUGGACAGAUGCCAAAAUAGGGACAGAAGAUGUGAACCCAAUUAUAUACAGCUGCUGCUAUAGCUGAUUACAUAAAGUAACAAAUUAAUUAAUGCUUGAGUGGAGGACAGGCUUGAGUGGAAGAAUUGAUUAAGGCUUGAGUGGAAGACAAACUUCAGUGGAGGAAAGUAUAGAUAAGGAAAGCAUGCCUCGUUUAACGGCUUUAUCUAAUAAAGAUUACUUGUUGGCACUUGGAGUUUCUUAGGAAUGCUGGUUUUGUUUCCUUGGUGGACUUGAAAGGUGGUGCCUUGGCUCGGACAUCUCCCAAGACAUACAACUGCUCAUUAGCUGAAUAUCUCGCUCUCUUUAAAGAGAUCGAAGCAAACACAAUUUGCAAUUUGUGUGAUUCAAGCAUGAAUAUCUGAUAUAGUAACUAUACCAUUUGUUGGUUUGAUAAGAAAAGUUUGGUUAGCGAGGAUGAAACCAUAAAGUUCCCAAAACACACAAAGAACACGGACAAUUGCUAAGUUUAUUCUUGAGUUCACACAUAUUUGCACAAAUGAGAUUAUUCCAAGCAUGAUUAUACCAUUUGUUGGUUUGAUGUGAAAAGUAUGGGCAACGAGGGGUAAAACCAUACAAACACACACGAAGAACGUGGACAAUACUAAAUUUAUCUUUACGUUAUUGAUCCGACCUAACUGUAAAAUAAAAAAGAUGAAAAUAUAUAAUGUUCAGUACUUAGAUCUAUGAGCACUUGCACAAAACAUCACUUUUGGUCUUUGGUAAAUUUUUAAAAUAAAUGAAUUUUUUACUUAUUUGUGAACUGAAAUGCCUCUAAAAAAAUAAUGAUAGUUCGAAGAAUUUGAUAGAAAUUAAAAAAUAUCCUCAAAUUACUUGGAAUUGAAGACCACAUAGGCAAAAACACGAAAUUGAAACCUCACUUUAAUGAUAAAAAUGGUAAACUACAAAGACAAAAAUGACGUCUUGCCUUAUAAAUAAUUGGAAUUUGCUGGUGAUAAUAGUCGAUAUCAUCUUUUGUCGGUCCGACCUAAAAAGAAGAAAAAGUUAAAAGCAUCUUGUACCAAUUUUUGCCAAUGUGGGCCCAAACAAUUUGAAGAAGUCCACCGGCAAUUUCUCAAAAGCUAUUGUGUGAGUGUGAAGCUAAACCAAUAUUAUUUUGCAUAUCCGACCCCACAUCCCCAUGUGAUGUGAGGCUACAGAGGUGUUUCCAAAACGAAAUAUGAUAUUUCAAAACGUAGCUAUGUAUAGAGUCAUUUGUAUUUGCUUUCACAAUAACAUUUGAUUUUAUAUUUAUACAUUCUGAUAUUUUAACAAAUAAAUUGACUAAAUUUGGCCAACAGGAUUUAGCCGAAUAGAAAAGUUCUUAUUUAUGGACUAGUAAUUUUAAAUUUAAAAUUUAGACUAUCGCAUGUAUUUAAAAAAAACUAAACAAUUGGCUUAAUUUGAUAUAUUUCCUUUUUUUCCUUUUUGCAUUUUAUGCUGGUUGCCGUUAUUAAGUUUUAUCCUUAUUUUUUGUUGAAAAGAAAAUUGAAAAAAAUAAUAAUAAUUCCUACAGCUAGCAACUUCUCCACCUACAAAAAAUAAUAUUUUUUGUUUUAUCCUCAUGUGAGGCUACAGAAAAUUUUUGAAAACGAAACUGGAUAUUUUAUCUCUAACGACAGCUUUCAUACUUCGUUUACCCUGUGUUUCCAAGUUGUGCUAGCUAUUUGCAAACCUUGGAAUAUUACUUCAUCCAAAUCCCUUGCAGAGAAAAGAAAGAUAUGGCUUUGAUCGGAGAGGCCCUCAUCUCUGCUACCAUCCAGACGUUGUGUGACAAAAUUGCUUCGCCUGAGUUCACCGACUUAUUUCGGCAGAAAAAGCUCGAUGAACAACUCCUCAACAAGCUGAAGACGACGCUGUUGACCUUGUCCGUAGUGCUUAAUGAUGCAGAGGAGAAGCAAAUUGAGGAACCUUUAGUGAGAGACUGGCUUGACAAUCUCAGACAUAAUGUCUUGGCUGCGGAGGACUUACUGGAUGAAAUCGACACUGAAGCUUUGCGAUGCAAACUGGAAGAAGGUGAAGGUCAAACCCACAAUUUAACCAAGAAGGUACGUGAUUUUUAUCAACGCAUGAAUGUUGAGAUGAAAGAUUUAUUAGAAAGAUUAGAACAAUUUGUACAAGAGAAAAGUGCUCUUGGUUUGAGAGAAGGUGCUGGGAGGAAGGUUUCACGAAGAACAACAACUUCCUUGGUUCAUGAACCUUGUGUCUAUGGUAGAGAUGAAGUCAAAGAAAAUCUGUUGCCAAUUUUGUUAUCUGAUGAUGCAAGUAAGGAUGAUGUGUCUGUCCUCACCAUUGUUGGAAUGGGUGGGAUUGGCAAGACAACCCUUGCCCGACUGCUUUAUAAUGACGAUGAGGUGAAAGAACAUUUUCCACUUCACGCUUGGGUUUGUGUUACGGAAGACUAUGAUUCUAAUAGGAUAACUAAAACUCUUCUAGAGUCAGUCACCUCAAAGUCUUCUAAUAUGACAGAUCUAAAUUUACUUCAAGUUGAACUAAAAGAACAACUCAAGGGAAAGAAAUUCUUAUUUGUUUUGGAUGACCUAUGGAAUGAGAAAUAUGGUGAUUGGAAACGCCUCCAAACUCCUUUUACUUCUGGGGCAAGGGGAAGUAAAGUCAUUGUAACAACACGGAGCCAACAUGUAGUAUCUGUCCUGCAAAGUGUUCAUGUUCAUCACUUGGAACCCUUGUCGCACGAAGAUUGCUGGUUCUUACUUGCAAAACAUGCAUUUGGAAAUGAAAAUUGCAGUGAUCCAAACUUGGAAGAAAUUGGCAAGAAAAUUGCACACAAGUUCAAUGGGUUGCCUUUAGCUGCAGAAACACUUGGGGGUUUGUUACGUUGCAAUAUAGAUUCAGAGGAAUGGAAUACAAUACUAAAUAGCAGUAUUUGGGAGCUACCCUAUGAUAAAUGUGACAUUCUUCCGGCUCUUGGGUUGAGUUACCAUUAUCUCUCCUCCCAGUUAAAACGAUGCUUUGUUUAUUGUUCAAUUUUUCCAAAGGAUUAUGAGUUUAAAAAGGAAGAUAUAGUUCAAUUUUGGAUGGCAGAAGGUUUAAUUCCAAAAGCUGAGAAUGGAAAGAGCAUAGAAGCGGUAGCUAGAAAAUACUUUGAUGAGCUGUUGGCACGAUCGCUAUUUCAAAAGUCAAGCAAAUCCGGUUUCACAAUGCAUGAUCUCAUUAAUGACUUGGCCAUGUUCAUGUGUAAGGCAUUUUGCCUUAGGUUGGAAGGGGGGGAAUCACAUGUCGUAGAAAAAGUUCGGCAUUUUUCAUAUGCUAUGGAAAGAUUUGAUGCAGCUCCAAAAUUUGAGCCAUUACAUAGGGCUAAGUUUAUGCGGACCUUUCUACCCAUAUCAUUAAAUUUUGUUUCCACUUCUUAUGUAACUAAAAAGGUUCUACAAGAUUUGUUGCCGUCACUAAGAUGUUUACGGGUGUUAUCAUUGUCACAUUAUCAAAAUGUUACUGUGUUACCUGAUUCUAUUGCAAACCUCAUUCACUUGCGCUACUUGGAUCUUUCCGGUACCGCAAUUGAAAGGUUACCUGGGGUACUUUGCAAUCUCUACAACUUGCAGACAUUACUAUUGUCAAAAUGUUUCUCACUCCUUGAAUUGCCUGCAGACAUUAGAAAAUUGACUAAUUUACAGAAAUUGACAUUGCUCGGUUGUAGUUCUCUUAAUAAAUUGCCUGCAGGCAUGAAGGAGUUGACUAAUUUGCAUCAUCUUGAUGUCAGUGGAACUAAAAUUGAAGAGAUGCCGGUGCAAAUGGGUAGAUUGAAAAGUUUGAGAACAUUGACUGCAUUUGUUGUGGGCAAAUCUACUGGGUUAGGCAUAAGAGAACUGAGGCAGUUCCCGCAACUUCGAGGAAAACUAUCAAUUUUGAAGCUACAAAAUGUAGUUGAUGCGAGGGAUGCACUGCACGCCAAUAUGAAGCACAAGAAAGAUCUCAAGGAGUUAAAGUUUUCAUGGGGUGCGGAGGAUGCUGAUGAUUCCCAAAAGGAGAAAGAUGUACUCGACAAGCUCCAGCCUUGCGUGAAUUUGGAGAAAUUAUCCAUCAAAUUCUAUGGUGGAACCAAUUUUCCGAAUUGGUUAGGAGACUCGUCUUUUUCUAACAUACAAGUCAUGCAUCUCAGUGACUGUAGUUAUUGUUGGUUGCUCCCACCAGUUGGACGGCUACCGGCACUCAAAGAGCUCUGUAUAAAAAGAAUGAAGUCUUUGAGGACGAUUGGCGUUGAAUUCUAUGGCAGAAAUGGAGCUUAUCUGACUCAGCCAUUUCGAUCUCUGGAGAAGCUAGAGUUUAGGGGGAUGCCGGAGUGGGAGGAAUGGGUACCAAGUGGAAGUGCAAGUGGAGGUGAAUAUGGUCCAGACUUUCCUCGUCUCCAAAAGCUGAUUCUAAACGAGUGUCCGAAGCUAAGAGGAAGUUUGCCUUGUGAGUUGCCUUGCUUGAAGAAGCUUACGGUGUAUGGGUGUAAGGUUUUACAUGAUGGAAGGACCGCUACCGCAACUACCAAUAGUGUUAACUAUAAAUCUCUGGAAGAAUUGGAUAUAAGUGGUGGAUGCCAAACUCUGUUAUCAUUAUUAGAGACAAAGCUCCUGUCCCGACUUCGGAUUCGAAAUGUUGUUGACAUACAGUGCUUGCCCAACUGCAAUCGUCUUCAACGUUUGACUCUUUGCCUAACGCUGUCAUCGUUUCCCAAAGAUGGCCUACCCACUACAUUGACAUCACUUUAUAUAAACAAUUGUAGGAAAUUAGAAUUCCUACCUCAUGAGAUGUUGGCCAAAUUAACAUCGCUUGACUAUUUGUGCGUACAAAAUAGCUGUGAUUCAAUGAGGUCCUUCCCGUUGGGCAUUUUUCCCAAAUUGACGACGCUUCAAAUUCGUGGUUGUGAGAAUCUGGAAUCUUUUUCCUUGAUUGAAGAAGAAGGAGCUGUUGACAAUCUCAGCCAUCUCAAUUCCUUGCGUGUCUAUAACUGUCCAAAAAUGGUGUGUUUUCACGAGGGAGAAUUGCCCACUCCCAACCUGAGUCACUUUGUAGUCAUUGGUUGCGAGAAUUUGAAGUCAUUGCCCGAACGCCUUCACACCCUCACUGCCCUUCGAUCUUUGAAUAUAUGGAAUCUUCCGAAUCUGGAGUCAUUUGCAGAAGAUGGGGGUUUGCCUCCCAACCUCCGAUCUUUUAUCAUUAGGAAUUGUAAGAGACUGAGGGCACUUGACUCAGUGGGUUUGCAAGCACUUGUCUACCUUCAGAUCGAUGGAAGUGACCAUGUCUUGGAGACGUUGCUGCUCCCUACCACUCUUCACACUCUCUGCAUCUCUGAUCUAUCAACUCUGAAAUCUUUGGACGGAAAGGGUCUUGGACACCUCACUUCUCUUCAAACUCUAAAAAUUUACAGCUGUCCAAGUCUUCAAUGCCUGCCAGAAGAGGGUUUGCCGCCAUCUCUUUCUCAUCUGAGUAUCCGCUGUUGUCCUACCCUGGAGGAAAGGUAUAAGAAUAAAACGGGACAAGAUUGGGCAAAGAUAUCUCACAUUCCUUGCAUCGAGAUAGGGGAAGAAGUGAUCAUAUAAUAUGAGCUAUUCCAUAUUUCACGCUCAACCCUCAACUCUCAAAUCAAAGUCAGG
RNAcentral lists this long non-coding RNA (20882 nucleotides) under Prunus persica (peach). RNAcentral's name for it is "long non-coding RNA (PPER_LNC001934)". Lineage: Eukaryota; Viridiplantae; Streptophyta; Magnoliopsida; Rosales; Rosaceae. The record is from RNAcentral.